This is a long non-coding RNA of Octopus sinensis (East Asian common octopus), 100 nucleotides long. RefSeq lists it as uncharacterized. Lineage: Eukaryota; Metazoa; Mollusca; Cephalopoda; Octopoda; Octopodidae. The transcript has 3 exons. The record is from RefSeq and is a predicted model, not a curated record.
AUACACGAAACUACCAAUAAAUGUAUUGAGUGCCCGUUCUUUCGUUUGUCCACUCACUCGUAUACAUAUGUGUGUGUGUGUGUGUGCAGUGGACUCUACU